GAACUAGUGAAGGGACUAAUCAAAUAUAUAUAAUCAGGGCUUAAAUAUUUUUGUAAUUAAAUUUUGACUUUAUAUUUAUCAAUUAUGAAUUAUUUAGUAAUGGAGUCAAUAUACUAAAUGUAUCAUUGUAAGUACCCAAAUUUGCCCAAGCCUAAUAAGCCCAAAUCAGACAAAAACAAAAAUAAACAAAAACCAAACUAAAAUUAAAAUGUCCAUUUAAAACCCAAAGCCCAAUUCCAAACCCAACAGACUUACCCAACUAGCCCAAAACUAUUAAAAACCUACGGGCCCGAUAGGCCCACUACCUAAACUAGUUUCAGCAAAGUUGAAACCCUAACCCUUAGUGCGCCGCUCCCCACGUGGUGUCGGCACCUUCUCCGCUGCAACGUUGCCACCGGCCUCCUCCACACUCUGACAGCACCUGCAAAACCAAAGCAACAAGCAAAACAAAAGCAGAGACAACGGCAACAGUAGCAAACAUAAAACAAAAUAGCAAUAAUAUAUUUUGUAAUCAGCUAUAAAGCCGAAAAGAAAACGCAUGUAAAAAGGGGGGAUUUUUUGAUUAAAAAAAUCGAUUCAGACAUACAAAUAAUAAUAAUAAAAAGAGACAGUUGAAAAAAAAUCCAAAGGUGCUAAGGUCUUUUUAUUCUCUCUUAUUUUUCUUUCUUCAAAAACUGUUAUUCAUCUAUUUCUUCUCAUUUUCCUAUUUUACGAAGUUAUUUACAUACAUAUAUUAGAAUGUAGUAAAAAAAGAGGAAAAAGAAAGUACCUGGAGCGUUCGGCCAUCGUCCAUGGCAGAGGAGUGGCGGUCAUGGUGACGGCGCAGGAAUGGAUUUCUUUUGAAACCCUAGCAGAGAAAAAAGGAAGAAGCCUUUGAAUUUAUUUCUCAAAAAUCGACUGGAGUGAAAAUUUUAAUUUUUUUUUUGUUUAAAUACCCUGAUUAAACGGCGCUGUUUUGAUGUUUGUUGUUCAGAGGCCAAAACGACGCCGUUUUGACCUCUGACCUGCGCAACCCGACCCGCUUGUACCUAGGAUCCGCGUGUUUCUUAAGCGGAAGGGCUAAUUUCACUUUCAGCCCUUCCGAUUUUUAAUUAUCUUGUAAUUAGGUUUCUUUUUAUUUUUAAUUUGGGCCUUAUAAUUUAUUUUGUUUUUAAUUUGGUCCCCCUGGUGCUGUGCGUUUUGGAGACCUGGAGUAAUUUCGCUGUUAGUCCCUCUGUCUUGGCGCGCUUUUUAUUUUGGCCCCCCGUUUGCCCUUUUCUUUUAUUUAUUUAUAAUUUAUCCUUUCAAGUUUAUUUUAGUUUCGAUUUCAUCCUUUAUUUAAUCAAUUUCAAUCCUUUUAGAUUUUAUAUAACCUAAUUUUUUUUAUUCAUUUGUCUUACUAUUUAUUUACCUUUGUUAUAUUCAAAGUUUUGUUUUCACCUAAUACUUAUUUAUUUAUUAUUUAUAUCUAUUAUAUUUUUAUUUAUUUAUAGUUUGUUUCUUUAAUUUUACUUAAGUUAAAAUUAAGUCCUUAUUUUAAUUCGUUUAUUUAUUCAUUUACUUUCUUGUUU
Molecule: long non-coding RNA, 1550 nt
Filed under: Gossypium barbadense (sea-island cotton)
Lineage: Eukaryota; Viridiplantae; Streptophyta; Magnoliopsida; Malvales; Malvaceae
Description: long non-coding RNA (GBAR_LNC005910)
Source: RNAcentral